RNAcentral lists this ribosomal RNA (500 nucleotides) under uncultured bacterium. RNAcentral describes it as "partial 16S ribosomal RNA". It matches the Rfam family "Bacterial small subunit ribosomal RNA", at positions 30 to 523 of the family's 1533-position model. The record is from RNAcentral.
AUUGAACGCUGGCGGCAUGCCUUACACAUGCAAGUCGAACGGCAGCACGGGAGCAAUCCUGGUGGCGAGUGGCGAACGGGUGAGUAAAGUAUCGGAACGUGCCCAGUCGUGGGGGAUAACGUAGCGAAAGUUACGCUAAUACCGCAUACGAUCUAUGGAUGAAAGCGGGGGAUCGCAAGACCUCGCGCGAUUGGAGCGGCCGAUAUCAGAUUAGGUAGUUGGUGGGGUAAAGGCUCACCAAGCCGACGAUCUGUAGCUGGUCUGAGAGGACGACCAGCCACACUGGUACUGAGACACGGCCCAGACUCCUACGGGAGGCAGCAGUGGGGAAGUUUGGACAAUGGGCGAAAGCCUGAUCCAGCCAUGCCGCGUGCAGGAUGAAGGCCUUCGGGUUGUAAACUGCUUUUGUACGGAACGAAAAGGUUUGGGCUAAUAAGCUGAGCUCAUGACGGUACCGUAAGAAUAAGCACCGGCUAACUACGUGCCAGCCGCCGCUGUAA